CAAAGAUAAGACUCAAAUAGAAAAGACCAACAAAUAGAAAUCUUUCCAUCUACCUAGAGAUUCGCGGGAGUUGCAGAUCCAUGCUAAGCACGUCGAAGCUGAAAUCGUGGAGCUUCCUAAGCUCAUCCAAACUGGGCCAUCCAUAAGUGAAUUUCCCCACCACAACGUACUGAAGAUUCUAAAUAGUGUUCAUUCUUGUCACUUCCUCUUCUUUCCAUCGCACCAAUGGUUCCUCAUCCGCAAAUUCAACAGUUUUCAUUUCAAUGGGCAUUGUAACAUUAGAGUCUUUAUUUUUAAGUAACACUUUAUAAUUUAACGGAUUUUUUUUUGUCAAGGCUCAAAGUAAAGGUUUUUUUGAUUUGGUAAAGGAGGAAACUUGGCUAAGGGUGAUUGGGAUGAAGAGGCUUGAUCAACUUUCUGAAUUGGCUGAGCGGCGGCCAAAUUUGAAAAUUGAAAAUGCUUUUCAUUACAUUUUUAUUGCUCUCUUUAUUUUUCUUCUUGUCUAAUUAUGUCACUUUGUGGAAGAAAUGAAUAUUUAUGUCGUUUUAUUAUUUUUUUUAUUAAGGUGAAAAUGCAUGAUAGUUUAAAUAAA
Long non-coding RNA from Solanum pennellii, 592 nucleotides. RefSeq lists it as uncharacterized. Lineage: Eukaryota; Viridiplantae; Streptophyta; Magnoliopsida; Solanales; Solanaceae. The record is from RefSeq and is a predicted model, not a curated record. The transcript is spliced from 2 exons.